CUCAUUAAAUCAGUUAUAGUUUAUUUGAUGGUCUCUUUGUUCUUCUUUUUACCUACUUGGAUAACCGUGGUAAUUCUAGAGCUAAUACAUGCGCAAGGUCCCGAGCGCGGAGGGUAGGGCUUCACGGCUCUACUCUUGCAUGCGUAGAGGGAUGUAUUUAUUAGGUUAAACAACCAGCAUUUUUUUCAUUUCUGGGUGAUUCAUAGUAACUCUUUUCGGGAUCGCAUUUCAUG
RNAcentral lists this ribosomal RNA (233 nucleotides) under uncultured Acanthamoeba. RNAcentral's name for it is "partial 18S ribosomal RNA". It matches the Rfam family "Eukaryotic small subunit ribosomal RNA", at positions 97 to 286 of the family's 1831-position model. The record is from RNAcentral. Lineage: Eukaryota; Discosea; Longamoebia; Acanthamoebidae.